Molecule: transfer RNA, 85 nt
Filed under: Raoultibacter massiliensis
Lineage: Bacteria; Bacillati; Actinomycetota; Coriobacteriia; Eggerthellales; Eggerthellaceae
Also listed under: 5 other names
Description: tRNA-Tyr
Rfam family: tRNA
About the family: Transfer RNA (tRNA) molecules are approximately 80 nucleotides in length. Their secondary structure includes four short double-helical elements and three loops (D, anti-codon, and T loops).
Source: RNAcentral
GGGAGUGUGCCCGAGUGGUUAAAGGGGACGGGCUGUAAACCCGUUAGCUAUGCUUACCUAGGUUCGAAUCCUAGCGCUCCCACCA